UCUCCUGGAAAGGAGCGUCAGAGAGGGUGAGAACCCCGUAAGCUCUUGCUUUGUUGCCUCGCGAGGUGCUUUCGAAGAGUCGGGUUGCUUGGGAAUGCAGCCCAAAUUUGGUGGUAAAUCCCAUCUAAGGCUAAAUAUUGGCGAGAGACCGAUAGCGAACAAGUACCGUGAGGGAAAGAUGAAAAGAACUUUGAAAAGAGAGUUAAAAAGUGCUUGAAAUUGUUGAGGGGGAAGCGUUUGAAUGCUAGAGUGCGCCUAGGCUUAUGGGUUCUUAACGGAGCUCUGUAUGUGCUAGGUGCUGGCCAGCAUGGGUUGGGCGAGUGGGAUAACAGCUGGGGUUGUUACCCGGUCUAUGCCACUUGCUUGACCAAGGCGUGAAGGCUGCUCUUGUCCUUCGGGAACUGCAGUCUCAAGAUGCUGGCAAAAGGCUUUCAACCGACCCGUCUUGAAACAGGACCAAGGAGUCUAACAUGUAUGCGAGUUGGUGGGUGGAAAACCCAUGAAGCGUAAGGAAACUGACUGGUGGGAUGGCCUGUGCCUGCACCAUCGACCGACCAUGCGUUUCUGCAAAAGGUUUGAGUGCGAGCAUACCUGUUGGGACCCGAAAGAUGGUGAACUAUGCCUGAGCAGGGUGAAGCCAGGUGAAAACCUGGUGGAGGCUCGUAGAUGUGCUGACGUGCAAAUCGCUUUUCGGACUUGGGUAUAGGGGCGAAAGACUAAUCGAACCAUCUAGUAGCUGGUUUCCUCCGAAGUUUCCCCAGGAUAGCUGGAGCUUAAUCGGAGUACGGUCAGGUAAAGCGAAUGAUUAGAGCUUCGGGGGAUGUAACAUCCUUCACUUAUUCUCAAACUUUAAAUAGUCCGGACGUCCAGGUUGCUUAAUUGAACCUGCGGCAUUAUAUCCGAGCUCCAAGUGGGCCAUUU
Molecule: ribosomal RNA, 921 nt
Filed under: Tetradesmus obliquus
Lineage: Eukaryota; Viridiplantae; Chlorophyta; Chlorophyceae; Sphaeropleales; Scenedesmaceae
Description: eukaryotic LSU rRNA
Rfam family: Eukaryotic large subunit ribosomal RNA
Source: RNAcentral